This 497-nucleotide ribosomal RNA is filed under the name uncultured bacterium. RNAcentral's name for it is "partial 16S ribosomal RNA". It matches the Rfam family "Bacterial small subunit ribosomal RNA", at positions 28 to 508 of the family's 1533-position model. The record is from RNAcentral.
GAUGAACGCUGGCGGCGUGCCUAAUACAUGCAAGUCGAGCGAACAGACGAGGAGCUUGCUCCUCUGACGUUAGCGGCGGACGGGUGAGUAACACGUGGAUAACCUACCUAUAAGACUGGGAUAACUUCGGGAAACCGGAGCUAAUACCGGAUAAUAUAUUGAACCGCAUGGUUCAAUAGUGAAAGACGGUUUUGCUGUCACUUAUAGAUGGAUCCGCGCCGCAUUAGCUAGUUGGUAAGGUAACGGCUUACCAAGGCGACGAUGCGUAGCCGACCUGAGAGGGUGACCGCCAACAGGGAAACUGAACCCGGGCCAAGACCCCUCGGGGGGGCACAGGGGGGGAUUCUUCCGCAAGGGGGGAAAGCCUGACGGAGCACCGCGGGGGGAGGAAGAAAGGUCUUGGGAUCGAAAACUUGUGUUAUUGGGAAAAAACAAAGGUGUAAUAAAAUAUGCCCUUCUGGAGGGUACCUAAUAAGAAGGCCCCGCCUAACUCCGGC